GUGUCAGCAGCCGCGGUAAUACGGAGGAUGCGAGCGUUAUCCGGAUUUAUUGGGUUUAAAGGGUGCGUAGGCGGAUUACUAAGUCAGUGGUGAAAACCUUCAGCUUAACUGGAGACUUGCCAUUGAUACUGAUAGUCUUGAGUACGGUCAAGGUAGGCGGAAUGUGUAACGUAGCGGUGAAAUGCUUAGAUAUUACACAGAACACCGAUUGCGAAGGCAGCUUACUGGGCCAUUACUGACGCUGAUGCACGAAAGCGUGGGGAGCGAACAGGAUUAGAUACCCUGGUAGUCCACGCCGUAAACGAUGAUCACUCGCCGUUGGCGAUACACAGUCAGCGGCUAAGCAAAAGCAUUAAGUGAUCCACCUGGGGAGUACGGCCGCAAGGCUGAAACUUAAAUGAAUUGGCGGGG
RNAcentral lists this ribosomal RNA (411 nucleotides) under uncultured prokaryote. RNAcentral's name for it is "bacterial SSU rRNA". It matches the Rfam family "Bacterial small subunit ribosomal RNA", at positions 505 to 918 of the family's 1533-position model. The record is from RNAcentral.